GAUGAACGCUGGCGGCGUGCCUAAUACAUGCAAGUCGAGCGGACUUUCAAGAAGCUUGCUUUUUGAAAGUUAGCGGCGGACGGGUGAAUAACACGUGGGCAACCUGCCUGUAAGACGGGGAUAACUCCGGGAAACCGGGGCUAAUACCGGAUAAUAUCUUUCUUCGCAUGAAGGCAGGUUGAAAGGCGGCGCAAGCUGCCGCUUGCAGAUGGGCCCGCGGCGCAUUAGCUAGUUGGUGAGGUAACGGCUCACCAAGGCGACGAUGCGUAGCCGACCUGAGAGGGUGAUCGGCCACACUGGGACUGAGACACGGCCCAGACUCCUACGGGAGGCAGCAGUAGGGAAUCUUCCGCAAUGGACGAAAGUCUGACGGAGCAACGCCGCGUGAGCGAAGAAGGUCUUCGGAUCGUAAAGCUCUGUUGUCAGGGAAGAACAAGUACCGUUCGAAUAGGGCGGUACCUUGACAGUACCUGACCAGAAAGCCACGGCUAACUACGUGCCAGCCGCCGCAGUAA
Molecule: ribosomal RNA, 515 nt
Filed under: uncultured bacterium
Lineage: Bacteria
Description: partial 16S ribosomal RNA
Rfam family: Bacterial small subunit ribosomal RNA
Source: RNAcentral